This 497-nucleotide ribosomal RNA is filed under the name uncultured bacterium. Its description in RNAcentral is "partial 16S ribosomal RNA". It matches the Rfam family "Bacterial small subunit ribosomal RNA", at positions 28 to 507 of the family's 1533-position model. The record is from RNAcentral.
GAUGAACGCUGGCGGCGUGCCUAAUACAUGCCAGUCGAGCGAACAGACGAGGAGCUUGCUCCUCUGACGUUAGCGACGGACGGGUGAGUAACACGUGGAUAACCUACCUAUAAGACUGGGAUAACUUCGGGAAACCGGAGCUAAUACCGGAUAAUAUAUUGAACCGCAUGGUUCAAUAGUGAAAGACGGUUUUGCUGUCACUUAUAGAUGGAUCCGCGCCGCAUUAGCUAGUUGGUAAGGUAACGGCUUACCAAGGCAACGAUGCGUAGCCGACCUGAGAGGGUGAUCGGCCACACUGGAACUGAGACACGGUCCAGACUCCUACGGGAGGCAGCAGUAGGGAAUCUUCCGCAAUGGGCGAAAGCUUGACGGAGCAACGCCGCGUGAGUGAUGAAGGUCUUCGGAUCGUAAAACUCUGUUAUUAGGGAAGAACAAAUGUGUAAGUAACUAUGCACGUCUUGACGGUACCUAAUCAGAAAGCCACGGCUAACUACGUG